Molecule: long non-coding RNA, 351 nt
Organism: Gopherus flavomarginatus (Mexican gopher tortoise)
Lineage: Eukaryota; Metazoa; Chordata; Testudines; Testudinidae
Exons: 3
Source: RefSeq, a predicted model, not a curated record
AUCAGAUGUUGCUGUUGUCAAGCCAUCACAAGGUCCUCAGUGAAGUCUGGCUAUCUUCCCAAGUGUGGGAUCUUUCCAAAGUUGUUGAACUGGAGCUUUUUGGUAUAGCAAAUAUUAUAUUUUAAUUAUGAGACUCAUCUCACCACAUUUCAGUUUCUCUUUUCACAGCCAUACUGUAUGAUUCACCAGGGUUCUUCAUGAAAGUAGGAGUGGUGUGAAGAGGAAACACAUAAAACUCAGCAUUGAGAGAGUGGCCUUAAGUACUCUUGUCCCACAGGUCACCAUGGUUUACAGGCAAAGUAAUAACUGAGACAGUUAACACGCUGAUGGCACAAGUCUCAUGCUGAAGUU